RNAcentral lists this small RNA (582 nucleotides) under Cryptococcus neoformans H99. RNAcentral describes it as "Cryptococcus neoformans var. grubii H99 hypothetical RNA". The record is from RNAcentral. Lineage: Eukaryota; Fungi; Basidiomycota; Tremellomycetes; Tremellales; Cryptococcaceae.
GCUUGGGUGAUUCUACAAACGCAUCUGGAGUUCGCAAUCUUUUGCUUGGAGCCUUGAUAAUGAUCGACAACCCGUUGAAUCGGCACUCGCCAGUGAUCGAUGAUAUACCACCACCACAAACUUCGGAAAAUUAUUAUUGAUGCUCCAUAUCGGCUACGUUUGCUAUUUGCUACCUAUAUGCCGUGCCACAUGACAGAGAAGACGCCCGACAGAUGGGACCCCCAAAUAUGGCGGAGGUUUAUCCUCGCAUUAUAGCAGGUGUAGUAGCGAGCAACUGCCAACAACGAAUGCUCGACGGUUUCCUUCAGCCCAAGUUGGGGCAACAACUGCAUAAUACUACUGACGACAGCAGGUACUUAGGCAUGCAAUAGUGAGUUGGUAGUGUCAAUGAUGACCUGAAGCAACCAUGGCCGACCAACAACACUGGAUAUCAGAUAACAUCGCUCAUUUCAUACACCAAGGAGUUUAUGUAUGAUUUUUCGAAAUCAGCGAAGGGACACUGAGAGCGUCCCCAACCCUUCGAUCAGUAGCCUUAUGCUAGCCUUAUGCUAGGUCAAGAGAUGUAGGCCCUCGAUGAAUGAC